CCGAAUGCCGGUAAGUGAGAGCGCGGCAGUGAGACUGCGGGGGAUAAGCUUCGUAGUCGAGAGGGAAACAGCCCAGAUCACCAGCUAAGGCCCCUAAGC
Molecule: ribosomal RNA, 99 nt
Filed under: Micromonospora chalcea
Lineage: Bacteria; Bacillati; Actinomycetota; Actinomycetes; Micromonosporales; Micromonosporaceae
Description: partial 23S ribosomal RNA
Rfam family: Bacterial large subunit ribosomal RNA
Source: RNAcentral